AUUAUGAUAAAUAUAAUUAAGGGCCAAAUUCACCGAAGUAAUUAAACGUCGUUAGAAGGAUCGAAAACGCAGUUUAUGCUCUAAACGAGCUUAUACGCUCAUUUCGAUUUUCACCGACCAAUAUUAA
Molecule: non-coding RNA, 127 nt
Organism: Plutella xylostella (diamondback moth)
Lineage: Eukaryota; Metazoa; Arthropoda; Insecta; Lepidoptera; Plutellidae
Source: RefSeq, a predicted model, not a curated record